Molecule: unclassified non-coding RNA, 191 nt
Filed under: Phylloporus sp.
Lineage: Eukaryota; Fungi; Basidiomycota; Agaricomycetes; Boletales; Boletaceae
Description: partial contains small subunit ribosomal RNA, internal transcribed spacer 1, and 5.8S ribosomal RNA
Rfam family: Eukaryotic small subunit ribosomal RNA (bases 1-46)
Source: RNAcentral
AAGUCGUAACAAGGUUUCCGUAGGUGAACCUGCGGAAGGAUCAUUAACAAACAGCGAAGCACGCACGAUGUGUCAUGAAGUGUGCUGAUGGUGUCCCGGUGGGGAGUGGGGGCGCAGCAUGAAAAACGAUUGUCAGACAAAUAUUACGUAUACAACAACAACAACUUUUAACAAUGGAUCUCUUGGCUCUU